This is a long non-coding RNA of Mesocricetus auratus (golden hamster), 609 nucleotides long. RefSeq lists it as uncharacterized. The transcript has 3 exons. The record is from RefSeq and is a predicted model, not a curated record. NCBI's taxonomy places the organism in Eukaryota, Metazoa, Chordata, Mammalia, Rodentia, Cricetidae.
GUAUUCAGCUCAUGCAUGGCAUUCUCCCAGGACUGUUUGCUGUUCCUGGAACACACUGAGCAAUUCUAUGCAAUCAGGUUUUUGUGCUGGAUCCAGACUGGUGCCCGUGUCUCUUCUUUUUGAAAUCUCAUCUGUCUGUUUCAGCCUAAUUCAAACUCCCAGAUUUGAAAACAAUCACUUUUGUGAAUAUGUUGAAAGCACAUCUCAUUUGAAGCCUGCUUGUAUUUCUUAACUUCAAAGUGGGGAGUCACUGUGUUCAUAAAAUAAUGGUCCAUUGAGAUUGGCAACGCAGAAGCUUGAUAGAGGAACUGGAUCUUCAUCAUCCAAAAAACUAUCAGUUUGUUUCUUCAGUAGAGAGUGCAUGGCCUUGGUAAUUGCCUGUGGAUACAAGUAAAGUUUGAACCAUAGAAUCAACUCCAGUACUUCUUGAUAAGUCAUCAGAGAAGCAAAGCAGCUAGCCACCAGAGAACUCUUACCUCUACCAAGGUUGGAAGGGAUCCUGUCCUCACCACGGCUGGUGACUAAUUGCCCAAAGACUGACUACUGAAUGCCCUGCUCCUAUCUUUUAUACUUCUCUAGUGCUGAGAUUAAAGGUGUGAGCUCUGUUUA